Long non-coding RNA from Chenopodium quinoa (quinoa), 951 nucleotides. RefSeq lists it as uncharacterized. The record is from RefSeq and is a predicted model, not a curated record. Lineage: Eukaryota; Viridiplantae; Streptophyta; Magnoliopsida; Caryophyllales; Amaranthaceae. The transcript has 3 exons.
GAUGACCAGUAUGAGCCGUACAUCGCUCCGCCUCGCCCUGCAGCUGAUGAGGCUUACGGUUGCAGGUGGAUGGUCCCCAGACUCACACAGGCACAUACGGCGACGGGUCUCCCAUACUACCGAGACGCCCUUGAUCGACUCACUGAGGAUCAGGUACAAACUCUGAAGACAUUUGUAAUCAUUUAGGUACUGUGUAUACUGAUUGUGGACUAACUUAUUUAGGAUGUGUUAUUGCAGAUCACAUGGGAUCCGUAUGUACCGGAGUUGGUAGAUGUCAUGCCUGCACAUCUACUGGAGCAUCAGGGAGAGUGGCGUGCCCGGGUCCCCCUGAUCUGUUUUGAGGUUGUGGAGAGUCACCUACCUGACCGCGUCAUGCGACAGUUCGGACUGCAGCAGCUUAUUCCCCAGAACUGUGACACUGUCGUGCGCCUUCACGACAUUGACCGUCGGGGAAAGACGGAGACAAACUGGGCACUGGAGCAUUGGCAGUAUCUUCAGCUAUGGGAGCAGCGGUUGGGUCAUGUCGUUCAGGGUUAUCCCAUGCAGGGCGUUAUGGAUCAUGACGAUCCGUACAUGGUGUGAUACAGGCUUAUCACACGCCGUUUCAUCAACCCCGGCUACACACCACCGUCCACCCAUUACCACCCGGCACAUGACGUCAUUAGCGGAUAUGCGGCGGAUAUGGUGGCGAUGUAUGAUGCACUGUCCCUCGCCCUUACAGACGGACCCACCAGAGCCCAGGUCCAGCGGAUGCGAGAUAUGUCCGCGACUUCCUUACGCAGACAUGGUCACGGUCAUCUCAUCCAACAGCGGGACGGUGAUGAUGGUCACUCCAUCCAUUCGCGGUUCGACCCCGGCCAGAGUAGCAGUGGAGGUGAUCCUACGUCGCACAUAGAGGCAGAGGAGUACAUCUUCCACAGUUCUGCACCCUUCAGAACCCAGGAGGACGCA